GUUAAUUUGAGUUCAGGAGGAAGUGGCCUGAGGUGAUGUGAUUAUCUGAUCUCAGAGCAGUGUGUGUGUGUGUGUGUGUGUGUGUGUGUGUGUGUGUGUAUGUGUGUGUGUGUGUGUAAUUCAGUCAGAGCUCACACCUGCCUGCUGAGGACACACACCUAGGACCAGACAGGAAACACGUAGAAAUCUCUUUAAUAAUCCACUUAACAUCUAAAAGGUCACAUGAGAGGCUUUAACUGUCUGUCUGUUUCUCUAUCUGUCUGUCUCUCUAUCUAUGUCUGUCUGUCUCUCUAUCUCUGUCUGUCUGUCUCUCUAUCUCUGUCUGUCUGUCUCUCUAUCUCUGUCUGUCUGUCUCUCUAUCUGUCUGUCUGUCUCUCUAUCUCUAUCUGUCUGUCUCUCUAUCUCUGUCUGUCUGUCUCUCUACCUCUAUCUGUCUGUCUCUCUAUCUCUGUCUGUCUGUCUCUCUAUCUCUGUCUGUCUGUCUCUCUAUCUCUGUCUGUCUGUCUCUCUACCUCUAUCUGUCUGUCUCUCUACCUCUAUCUGUCUGUCUCUCUAUCUAUGUCUGUCUGUUUCUCUAUCUCUGUCUGAUUAAAGCUGACUGUAUCAUCAUAUAUCAAUAUCAGGUUGUCCUGAUGUUGGUUGUUCUGGUGUGAUGGUGAAUAUGAUGUUGUCCUGAUGUUGGAGGUUCUGGUGUGAUGGUGAAUAUGAUGUUGUCCUGAUGUUGGAGGUUCUGGUGUGAUGGUGAAUAUCAGGUUGUCCUCUCUGUGCUAAACUGCUGGAAAGAAGCACCAAUAAAUCUCUGACUGUCUGAGCUCGGAGCUGUCGUGUUUCAUCACACCGGCGACUCUGUGCAGAUGAUUUACAGAGGUUUGAGGUUGAUUGUAGACAAAUAGCUGUCGUGUCAGUCCCACACACCCCCCCCCCCGCACACAGACAGACGUCUGCCUCCUAAAAGCUAUGCUCAAGGUGCUUUUGUUUCAGCAUGCCAGAAUUAAUGAAGCUAUGUUUCAUUCCAGUGUGUCAGGUGUCAGUGUAAAGUGAGAUCCAGAAGAAUCCAGCUCUAAACCACAACUGUGUGUUCUGCCAUCGAGGAAUAUUAAAGGUGUAUUGUAGUGCAGAGUGCAGGCAUUGUGGGAGGUGUUUACAUGAGUACAUAAUCUGUAAUAAACCCUUUUUAACACUCAUGCUGUCUUCACUACUUAGUAAUAAAUAUUCCAGGCUACAGAUUUAGAUUAAAAACAGACAGUGUGUCUUUCUUCUGUCUGUGUUUCAGUUAGCAAUUUAAACUGUAUUGAUGGAACAGAGCCACAGAGGCCACGCCUCCUUCACUGAGACUGACAGACACAGAGGCCACGCCUCCUUCACUGAGACUGACAGACACAGGG
This is a long non-coding RNA of Ictalurus punctatus (channel catfish), 1385 nucleotides long. Lineage: Eukaryota; Metazoa; Chordata; Actinopteri; Siluriformes; Ictaluridae. The record is from Ensembl.